GUUAUUUUUUAAGAAUUUUUCUAUGUCAAAAUUCAACCAUUUAUCAAGUUCUCGUGUAUUAACCAGAAAAUGGUUGAUAAAUUUUACGUUUUUUCUACGCCAUAUUGGAAGCUACCGUGGAGUGAACCGAAGGUGUUUCGGAUUUAAUUUGUUCGCACGAAUAAAACAGGGCUGGAGAGAUUCUAAAGUGCACUUAUUGGACGAAUCUGCGGCAAUCCGGUUCCAGUUCCAGAUCCAACGGCACCGAACGCGGGACUACCUACUUCCGGAACGAGCGCACCGAACAUUCCUCAUAACAUUCGGAUGAAGCUGAGAUGGGUAGACAGCCCAAAAAUCUCCACCCACCGGAGUGGAAUUGCGGUCAUCAUAAGAGUGUGUGCUACAGCUGCUUCAUCAAGAACCUCCCAGAUGCAUUAAGCACAAAGCAGCAGAGAAAAGGAACCGCCUGUCGUAAAGCCGUUUUGGGAAAAAAUCCCUUGUCAGCCAGUCGUCCUCGAAAUAACUCAUAGCAUCGUUGAUGAAAAUGUUAUCCUCAAGAAAUCAGUGGAAAUCAGUCAAAUGUUGACAACCCGGAAUGCGGGCCUCUAGAAAAAACCGAUGGAUUGUAACGCGACCACCUAUCUCAUACGGAAUGCGCUCGGGGGAACCGACUACGGGACACUCGAAACUGUCCCACAUGCUAUCGCUGCCACAGGACAUCGUUCCGCAGGACAUCACCAUCAAUGUGUUUUACUUCGAUUCGGAAUACCUGCGGAACUGCCCUACCUAGCGGCACGAGUUGCAGCCGAAGAAGCUGUCCGGAUCUGUCGUCCUGCAAUAGAUUGAGCAUUUGGGAGCAACUCACUGAUGGAGAACAAAAGGCCGCCGCGUACCAGUUAACGAUCGAAGCCUUCUAGUGUUACCUUAACUACUAAUAAGAAACCGUAAUUAGGUACUAUUUAAACAAAUUCGUUGUUGUAUUUUGUCAGCAUAAAUCAGAGAUGCUCCGAAAGCGUAUUUAAUCGCUAACUACAAAGAUUGUAACACUAAAAAGAAGGACAAAAAAACCACGUAUAUGAAUGAAAUCCCGGGUGAAGGUAAAAGGCGUGAAAAACACAAACAAAAAAUAAAUUUUAAUUUUUCUUCGAAAACAUUUCAAUUUGUUCUAUUUCUACAUUAACAUUCUCCCUCAUUGAUUUAAAAACAACCAUUUUUCAA
Uranotaenia lowii is the source of this 1197-nucleotide long non-coding RNA. RefSeq lists it as uncharacterized. NCBI's taxonomy places the organism in Eukaryota, Metazoa, Arthropoda, Insecta, Diptera, Culicidae. The transcript has 3 exons. The record is from RefSeq and is a predicted model, not a curated record.